RNAcentral lists this transfer RNA (74 nucleotides) under Candidatus Woesearchaeota archaeon. Its description in RNAcentral is "tRNA-Arg". It matches the Rfam family "tRNA". Rfam says of the family: Transfer RNA (tRNA) molecules are approximately 80 nucleotides in length. Lineage: Archaea; Nanobdellati; Candidatus Woesearchaeota. The record is from RNAcentral.
GCCCGUGUAGGCUAAUCUGGAUAGACUGCGAGGUUGCGGUCCUUGUGAUCCGGGUUCAAAUCCCGGCACGGGCG